Molecule: ribosomal RNA, 461 nt
Filed under: uncultured bacterium
Lineage: Bacteria
Description: bacterial SSU rRNA
Rfam family: Bacterial small subunit ribosomal RNA
Source: RNAcentral
CCUACGGGAGGCAGCAGUAAGGAAUAUUGGUCAAUGGACGCAAGUCUGAACCAGCCAUGCCGCGUGAAGGAUGAAGGCCCUCUGGGUUGUAAACUUCUUUUAUCUGGGACGAAAAAAGGGCAUUCUUGCUCACUUGACGGUACCAGAAGAAUAAGCACCGGCUAACUCCGUGCCAGCAGCCGCGGUAAUACGGAGGGUGCAAGCGUUAUCCGGAUUUACUGGGUUUAAAGGGUGCGUAGGUGGGUUGGUAAGUCAGUGGUGAAAUCUCCGAGCUUAACUCGGAAACUGCCAUUGAUACUAUCAAUCUUGAAUACUUUGGAGGUAAGCGGAAUAUGUCAUGUAGCGGUGAAAUGCUUAGAUAUGACAUAGAACACCAAUUGCGAAGGCAGCUUACUACACAGUCAUUGACACUGAGGCACGAAAGCGUGGGGAUCAAACAGGAUUAGAUACCCUGGUAGUCC